UACGGAAGGCAGCAGUGGGGAAUAUUGCACAAUGGGCGAAAGCCUGAUGCAGCUAUGCCGCGUGUAUGAAGAAGGCCUUAGGGUUGUAAAGUACUUUCAUCGGGGAGGAAAAACAAAACUAAUAAUUUUAUUUCUUGACGUUACCCGAAAAAGAAGCACCGGCUAACUCCGUGCCAGCAGCCGCGGUAAUACGGAGGGUGCUAGCGUUAAUCAGAAUUACUGGGCGUAAAGAGCACGUAGGUGGUUUUUUUAAAGUCAGAUGUGAAAUCCCUGGGCUUAACCUAGGAACUGCAUUUUGAAACUGAAAUACUAGAGUAUCGUAGAGGGAGGUAGAAUUCUAGGUGUAGCGGUGAAAUGCGUAGAUAUCUGGAGGAAUACCUGUGGCGAAAGCGGCCUCCUAAACGAAUACUGACACUGAGGUGCGAAAGCUGGGGAGCAAACAGGGAUUAGAUACCCGU
Molecule: ribosomal RNA, 458 nt
Filed under: uncultured bacterium
Lineage: Bacteria
Description: bacterial SSU rRNA
Rfam family: Bacterial small subunit ribosomal RNA
Source: RNAcentral